RNAcentral lists this ribosomal RNA (557 nucleotides) under uncultured fungus. RNAcentral describes it as "SSU rRNA". It matches the Rfam family "Eukaryotic small subunit ribosomal RNA", at positions 194 to 755 of the family's 1831-position model. Lineage: Eukaryota; Fungi. The record is from RNAcentral.
GGAAGGGGUGUAUUUAUUAGAUUAAAAACCAACGCCCUUCGGGGCUUCUUGGUGAUUCAUGAUAACUUCACGGAUCGCAUGGCCUUGCGCCGGCGACGGUUCAUUCAAGUUUCUGCCCUAUCAACUUUCGAUGGUAAGGUAUUGGCUUACCAUGGUUUCAACGGGUAACGGGGAAUUAGGGUUCGAUUCCGGAGAGGGAGCCUGAGAAACGGCUACCACAUCCAAGGAAGGCAGCAGGCGCGCAAAUUACCCAAUCCCGACACGGGGAGGUAGUGACAAUAAAUACUGAUACAGGGCUCUUUUGGGUCUUGUAAUUGGAAUGAGUACAAUUUAAAUCCCUUAACGAGGAACAAUUGGAGGGCAAGUCUGGUGCCAGCAGCCGCGGUAAUUCCAGCUCCAAUAGCGUAUAUUAAAGUUGUUGUGGUUAAAAAGCUCGUAGUUGAACCUUGGGCCUGGCUGGCCGGUCCGCCUCACCGCGUGUACUGGUCCGGCCGGGCCUUUCCCUCUGUGGAACCCCAUGCCCUUCACUGGGUGUGGCGGGGAACCAGGACUUUUAC